Molecule: long non-coding RNA, 490 nt
Filed under: Arabidopsis lyrata
Lineage: Eukaryota; Viridiplantae; Streptophyta; Magnoliopsida; Brassicales; Brassicaceae
Description: long non-coding RNA (ALYR_LNC000290)
Source: RNAcentral
AAGAGAAAUGCAUCCCGGAUCCUGGUUGUUAAAGUACCGUAGAUGCAAAACAAAAAAAAACUCAUAGGGACUUCGUCCUCACUUACAAAACUAUUGAAAGCCAUAAUAACCUUGUGUAGGGUUCUUUGAGUCCAAUAUGACAAGAUUGGUGUGUAUGACUGAGUAUAAGAAAGAGAAAUGCAACCCGGAUCCUAGUUGUUAAAGUAGCGUAGAUGCAAAACAAAAAAACUCAUAGGGACUUCGUCCUCCCUUACCAAACUUGGGGAAGCCAUAAUAAGCUUGUGUAGGCUUCUUGGAGUCCAAUAUGACAAGAUUGGUGUGUAUGACUGAGUAUGAGAAAGAGAAAUGCAACCCGGAUCCUGGUUUUUAAAGUACCGUAGAUGCAAAACAAAAAAAAACUCAUAGGGACUUCGUCCUCACUUACAAAACUUGUGAAAGCCAUAAUAAGCUUGUGUAGGGUUCUUGGAGUCCAAUAUGACAAGACUGGUGU